AACAGGAUUAGAUACCCUGGUAGUCCACGCCCUAAACGAUGUCAACUAGCUGUUGGGGCCUUCGGGCCUUGGUAGCGCAGCUAACGCGUGAAGUUGACCGCCUGGGGAGUACGGUCGCAAGAUUAAAACUCAAAGGAAUUGACGGGGACCCGCACAAGCGGUGGAUGAUGUGGAUUAAUUCGAUGCAACGCGAAAAACCUUACCUACCCUUGACAUGUCUGGAAUGCCGAAGAGAUUUGGCAGUGCUCGCAAGAGAACCGGAACACAGGUGCUGCAUGGCUGUCGUCAGCUCGUGUCGUGAGAUGUUGGGUUAAGUCCCGCAACGAGCGCAACCCUUGUCAUUAGUUGCUACGAAAGGGCACUCUAAUGAGACUGCCGGUGACAAACCGGAGGAAGGUGGGGAUGACGUCAAGUCCUCAUGGCCCUUAUGGGUAGGGCUUCACACGUCAUACAAUGGUCGGGACAGAGGGUCGCCAACCCGCGAGGGGGAGCCAAUCCCAGAAACCCGAUCGUAGUCCGGAUCGCAGUCUGCAACUCGACUGCGUGAAGUCGGAAUCGUUAGUAAUCGCGGAUCAGCAUGUCGCGGUGAAUACGUUCCCGGGUCUUGUACACACCGCCCGUCACACCAUGGGAGUGGGUUUUACCAGAAGUAGUUAGCCUAACCGCAAGGGGGGCGAUUACCACGGUAGGAUUCAUGACUGGGGUGAAGUCGUAACAAGGUAACC
RNAcentral lists this ribosomal RNA (725 nucleotides) under uncultured bacterium. Its description in RNAcentral is "bacterial SSU rRNA". It matches the Rfam family "Bacterial small subunit ribosomal RNA", at positions 771 to 1501 of the family's 1533-position model. The record is from RNAcentral.